Panicum virgatum (switchgrass) is the source of this 841-nucleotide long non-coding RNA. RefSeq lists it as uncharacterized. Lineage: Eukaryota; Viridiplantae; Streptophyta; Magnoliopsida; Poales; Poaceae. The transcript is spliced from 3 exons. The record is from RefSeq and is a predicted model, not a curated record.
AGUUUUUAUUCCAUUUUGUUAGUUCUCAUAACUAUUCUGACAUGCAACACUGACAGCGUGAUCCCUGUUGAGUAGGAAGGAAAGAAUUGUACUUACAUCACCUUCAUCCUCAUGUCAUCCUUCUGCUUCCUCCACCACAAAAUUGUGAAGGAAAACAUACCAGUGCCUUGAAGGAGAUGAGUGAGCCAUUGAAGAUGCGCGUCUUGAGCCUGUCAUCAGGUAUUGAGGCUUCCACCAUGCACACCAGAGAAACCCAUUGGUUCCUGUUGACUGAAUCGCCCACAAAUACUAAUCUCUUGUUCCUCAGCUUUUCAAGCAGCUUGGUGGCAUCGAAUCUGUAUUGACAUGGCAAAUCCUGACAUCAGACAUCAUGUCUUCCUACCAUGCAGAGUGCAGUAGAUCUGAAAAGCGUGGAUGAUGAGCAGCAGGCCAGCAGCAUUCAGUGGAGCAGCAUCUGGUUGCAAGGUUGGAGAUGAGUACAAUGAUUGCUGGUUUGCAGUAGAUGGGGUGAGCGAGCCUUAGAAGGCUACUAACAGCAGAGCUGUUCACACAGAGAGAGAGAGACAGUAGCAGCAAGCAGCUAGCCUAGGUGUUGUACCAUGGGAUUCGUUCCUGCUAGUUGCUGGGCACAUGGUUCUUGGUUCUCUGAGGAGGAAUCUGAUCAGGCGCAUGCACAAGCCCAGGAAGAGAGCAUGAUGCACGCACUCGGUACGACCAUUAUAUGAUGCUGUCCAGUCCUGGAUAGGAUAGAGACGCUUGCAUGUAAAGAUUCACUAGUACAUACGUCUAAUUGAUUUAAAAAAAGUCUACGAUAAAGUAAAGUGAUCAUUUCUCCAACAAA